RNAcentral lists this transfer RNA (74 nucleotides) under Proteus phage Privateer. RNAcentral's name for it is "tRNA-Trp". It matches the Rfam family "tRNA". Rfam says of the family: Transfer RNA (tRNA) molecules are approximately 80 nucleotides in length. Their secondary structure includes four short double-helical elements and three loops (D, anti-codon, and T loops). RNAcentral also lists the same sequence under 1 other name. The record is from RNAcentral. Lineage: Duplodnaviria; Heunggongvirae; Uroviricota; Caudoviricetes; Grimontviridae.
AGGGGAUUAGUAUAUUGGUAUUACAAUUGCCUCCAAAGCUAGAGAAGAGGGUUCAAUUCCUUCAUCCCCUGCCA